AUAGCGUAUAUUAAAGUUGUUGCAGUUAAAAAGCUCGUAGUUGAAUUUCAGCUCUGGCUGGGCGGUCCACCUUUGGAUGGUACUGCUCUGGCUGGGGUUUACCUUUCUGGUGAGCCGCGAUGCCCUUCACUGGGUGUCGCGGGGAACCAGGACUUUUACCUUGAAAAAAUUAGAGUGUUUAAAGCAGGCCAAUUGCUUGAAUACAUUAGCAUGGAAUAAUGGAAUAGGACCUCGGUUCUAUUUUGUUGGUUUCUAGGACCGAAGUAAUGAUUAAUAGGGAUAGUUGGGGGCAUUAGUAUUUAGUAGCUAGAGGUGAAAUUCUUGGAUUUA
This 330-nucleotide ribosomal RNA is filed under the name uncultured eukaryote. Its description in RNAcentral is "SSU rRNA". It matches the Rfam family "Eukaryotic small subunit ribosomal RNA", at positions 594 to 928 of the family's 1831-position model. The record is from RNAcentral.